RNAcentral lists this non-coding RNA (160 nucleotides) under Sphingomonas trueperi. RNAcentral describes it as "6S / SsrS RNA". It matches the Rfam family "6S / SsrS RNA". From Rfam's summary of the family: E. coli 6S RNA was the first non coding RNA to be sequenced, but its function was unknown until recently. It consists of 184 nucleotides that fold into an extended hairpin structure with a large single-stranded internal bulge. Lineage: Bacteria; Pseudomonadati; Pseudomonadota; Alphaproteobacteria; Sphingomonadales; Sphingomonadaceae. RNAcentral also lists the same sequence under 8 other names. The record is from RNAcentral.
CGGGAACUGCCCGGUGCGAGCCUUAGCAAUUAUCCCUGAGGCUAUAAUCUUCAUCCAUGGGAGCUGUCCCUGUGCAGAUCCUGGUCUGCAACACAUGGUUCCCACCUGACGUUCUGUGCGUCGGUGGAUAUUCAGGCCAACGGCCCAUGGUGGUUCCCGU